UCCAUUCUUUUGAAAAAUGAUAAAGCUAUUAUUAUGAUAAAGGAGAAACUAGUUUUAAAAUGUAUGAUAAUUUUUAAAGAAAAAGAAUCAAAGUACAGUAAUUUUAAACUUAAAUCAUUCACCAGAACAAAAGUAUCUAAAUGAUUAGAGCCAAGUAUAUGAUAAAUUCACACUCCACAAAUUUAAACCUAGCUAGAUUCUUAAUUUACCAGCUUCAUAAAAGCUUGGCAACUCUUACUAACCCAGAUAAGCCUGUUCCAGAGCCUAACAGCUUCAAUAAUUACACGUGUUAAAUUCGUAUAAGCUCAGUAACAACAGCAUCAAUCAACCAAAUAUGUUUAUUACAAGACUAACACCAAUAUUCCAUUACAAAUCCAGAGGUUGCUUCCCCCUAGGCUUGUAUAGAAUUUUUUUUACCUUCUAUACAAGGCAACCUUUUAGACUUGCAUCAAGAUUCCAUGCACAGCUGCAAGUAUUAGUCAAUCUCUCAAGUGUUUAAUUAUAAUUGGUCAAACAUCCAUUAGCAAAAGUUUCAUUAGUCCUAAUGCAACAAUUACUAAGAUACAUGAUUUACAGGACAUUGCCAAAUAACAAGUGCCAAUUAGCCACACAUAACCUGGCAGAAGACAUCAACAUACAGAGGAAGAUUGAUCAGAUAUGUUCAACAAACAAAUCAACCUUUUUCUUUUUCUUUUUACCUGAUUCUACCAGAAACCAAGGUUAGGACACAAAAACUGCAAAUCUAAAAGAAAUCUCUAGUAAUUGCUGUCAGAUGAUACAUUAUAACCUCUGGAUUGUAAUAAUAUUGCAAUUUUGUGCUGUUAAAGCCUCUCAUUAGUCAAGCAACAAACUUUAGACAACGCGUAUCAUUGUGUAUAUUUUGGCAGCGGG
RNAcentral lists this long non-coding RNA (891 nucleotides) under Panax ginseng (ginseng). Its description in RNAcentral is "long non-coding RNA (PGIN_LNC010426)". Lineage: Eukaryota; Viridiplantae; Streptophyta; Magnoliopsida; Apiales; Araliaceae. The record is from RNAcentral.